Molecule: non-coding RNA, 75 nt
Filed under: unclassified sequences
Source: RNAcentral
GGGGCAAUAAAGCCCCGCCUUAAUGCAGCUGCCGCAAGGCAACGGUCGCAAGCCCGUGCAAAUGCAGAGCGGGGA